RNAcentral lists this unclassified non-coding RNA (267 nucleotides) under Mortierella sp. RNAcentral's name for it is "partial internal transcribed spacer region". The stretch from base 1 to 46 matches the Rfam family "Eukaryotic small subunit ribosomal RNA", at positions 1786 to 1831 of the family's 1831-position model. The record is from RNAcentral. Lineage: Eukaryota; Fungi; Mortierellomycota; Mortierellomycetes; Mortierellales; Mortierellaceae.
AAGUCGUAACAAGGUUUCCGUAGGUGAACCUGCGGAAGGAUCAUUCAAAAUAAAAGUGAAUUUUUAUGGCACUUUUAAAACAAUCCAUAUCCACCUUGUGUGCAAUGUAAAAAAAAAUGAAAGAGGAUUGGUUUUUUUUAUUAAUUUCCAAUCCUUUUUUCUAUAAUAUCAACUCUUUUGCCUUGAAACAUGUUUGUCUGAAAUAAAAAUAUUCUUGAAUAACUUAAUUCAAAAAUACAACUUUCAACAACGGAUCUCUUGGCUCUC